AUCGCCAGUCCCACCUUCGACAGCUCCCAGGAUAUCGUUAAACGGAAAGGUAAGCCAAGGGGUAGAGAUUAAUUGACCCAAUGGGCAGAAAAGCACUGAAGGCAGGCGACAGCAGGCUGAAGGAAUGACGGCCUUUCGGGUUGAAAACCCACUUUCAGGCAGGGAAAGAAAGAGAAAAGUAACCGGUAACUUACAGAAAGAAAGCGCCCGGCUAUAUACGUAGCCAGGCAGACGCGGUAAUAAGUAGGGCGCAAGCGUUGUCCAGAAAUAUUUGGAGCGUAAAAGAGCUUGGUAAGGCGGGCUAGUCACGUCGAUUGGGAAAGCCCAGGGGAUUAAACCCCGGGUUCUGCAGUCGAUACGGCAGGCUAGAGUUCGGUAGGGGAGAUUGGAAUUCCUGGUGUAGCGGUAAAUUGCGCAGAUAUCAGGAGAAACACCGGUGGCGAAGGGCGGGAUCUCUGGGCCGAUACUGACGCUGAGGAGCGAAAGCGUGGGGAGCGAACAGGAUUAGAUACCCUGGUAGUACACGCCGUAAACGGUGGGCACUAGGUGUGGGCAACAUUCCACGUUGUCCGUGCCGCAGCUAACGCAUUAAGUGCCCCGCCUGGGGAGUACGGCCGCAAGGCUAAAACUCAAAGGAAUUGACGGGGGCCCGCACAAGCGGCGGAGCAUGUGGCUUAAUUCGACGCAACGCGAAGAACCUUACCAAGGCUUGACAUACACCGGAAACGGCCAGAGAUGGUCGCCCCCUUGUGGUCGGUGUACAGGUGGUGCAUGGCUGUCGUCAGCUCGUGUCGUGAGAUGUUGGGUUAAGUCCCGCAACGAGCGCAACCCUUGUCCCGUGUUGCCAGCAAGCCCCUUCGGGGGUGUUGGGGACUCACGGGAGACCGCCGGGGUCAACUCGGAGGAAGGUGGGGACGACGUCAAGUCAUCAUGCCCCUUAUGUCUUGGGCUGCACACGUGCUACAAUGGCCGGUACAAUGAGCUGCGAUACCGCAAGGUGGAGCGAAUCUCAAAAAGCCGGUCUCAGUUCGGAUUGGGGUCUGCAACUCGACCCCAUGAAGUCGGAGUCGCUAGUAAUCGCAGAUCAGCAUUGCUGCGGUGAAUACGUUCCCGGGC
This 1116-nucleotide ribosomal RNA is filed under the name Streptomyces sp. RNAcentral's name for it is "bacterial SSU rRNA". It matches the Rfam family "Bacterial small subunit ribosomal RNA", at positions 1 to 1379 of the family's 1533-position model. Lineage: Bacteria; Bacillati; Actinomycetota; Actinomycetes; Kitasatosporales; Streptomycetaceae. The record is from RNAcentral.